UACGAAGGGGGCUAGCGUUGCUCGGAAUUACUGGGCGUAAAGGGAGCGUAGGCGGACAUUUAAGUCAGGGGUGAAAUCUUUCGGCCCAACCGGAAAAGUGCCCCUGAUACUGGCCGCCUCGAGGGGGGUAGGGGCAUGCGGAACUUCCGGUGGAGCGGUGAAAUGCGUAGAUAUCGGAAGGAACGCCGGUGGCGAAAGCGGCGUGCUGGACCCCUUCUGACGCUGAGGCGCGAAAGCCAGGGGAGCAAACGGG
RNAcentral lists this ribosomal RNA (253 nucleotides) under uncultured bacterium. RNAcentral's name for it is "partial 16S ribosomal RNA". It matches the Rfam family "Bacterial small subunit ribosomal RNA", at positions 524 to 776 of the family's 1533-position model. The record is from RNAcentral.